UGCAAGUUGCCAAUGUUGAUGAUUGCGCGUAUCACUUUUUAAUUCAAUAUAUUUGGAAUCGAAUGACAUGCGCACAGUUUUAGGAAACAUUCAAAGAUUGAAAAGAACUUUUAAUCAAGCGCUAUGCUAGUAAAGAGACUAGAAAACAUUUAUUGGUUGGAAGAAUAGAUAAAACCUCAAGUGCCUACAGUUUGUGCAGUCUCGCCCUUUCUGAUUUUGAGAGCCUGAGAGAACACGUCUGAUAAACUAAUUGAAUUCAGUUAAAUUAUUAAAGCCAUAUUCUACAGCGAAUUGGAAAGACGUAACAGGGAGAAUAUGACACUUAUUGUCCAAGAAUACCAAACUUAUCCAAGCACGUUGAAAAAGUAAAAAAUAAAAGGAAAGUCAUGUUAUUCAUGAAUUGACACUUUCAAAAAACGUUAUUGUCUUCUUGACUGUCUCUUUUAAUUGGAUAUGGCUAUAGACAUAGUAUUUAGAUGUCCAUGCAAACAAUUUACCAUGGAAACUAUAUUUAAAUAUUUUCCUACUACAGUCUACAUGCAGGUGGCAAUUAAUUUUGGAUCUUUUCUUGACAUUUGACAUGAGAAGAAAUCUUGCAGUUGAAACGUAAGGAACAGUAAACUUUGCUGCAUGAAACAGUGAAUGUCACAAUUUAGAUAAGCAGAAAGGAUAUCAAAAUAUUUAAUGUGUACUGCUCUAUUUGUUCGAAACAGCUGAUGAUUUCAAUUCAAUGUAAUUUACAACGGUGUUCUUUAUAUUGCCGACGAUGUUAAUACAGAUUAUGCAUAAUUAGCUAGAGAUAGCUGUAAAAUUUGAGUUUUGCACGUAUCAUGAAGAAAUCAAUAAAAUCAACUUUCGUAUGUCUUAAAUGGGUUGCACUGCAUCAGUAAAGAAGAGUGAAUCGAAUAAACAAAACAACAUCAAAGGUAUUAUUUUAUCUUCAGUAAUUUUAUUCAUAUGACAAAUAUAUUACAUUUGCAACUCGAAGUAAAUCUAGAUUCUAGAAUUAAAAAAAUGUCAAUCUAUAUUUUAGCUUUAAAAGCGGCUAUUUUAAUCCAAACAUGGUUUAGACGCCAUCAAGCCAGACUUGAGGCUCGUAGGAGAUGUUCAUGGAAAAUAUUUCAAGCGUUGGAAUACUCUGGAGAAAUAGAUCAUGUUAAGGUUUGAUGAAAUAACAAACAUUGUAAAUACAGGCGCUAAAUUAACAGUACACGAAUAACAUAAAUAUACGAGUAGCGUUACGUAACAUGUAGCUAUAGUAAGCAUUAUGGUUUCAAGGUAUUAGUUAUAGCACAAUAUUAAGAAACCAUUAUAGGGUUCGUUCGUUCCAUGUUAAGUAAAUGUUGUUUACACACCUAUAAGCUAAACGUUGGAUCGCGAUAUUUAACUGCAAUAACCUAAGUUAACAAAGUUUAAUUGAAACGUUUCAACAACUAUAUACUCAUACUGAAGUGCUGCUAUUUCAAUAAUUAUUUUACACUUUUCACGACUGUUCCUUUCUUGCAUUGUUCUUGUUUUAACGCGUGUUUAGUAUCCUUGAUAAGACGCCUCAAUACUCUGAAUUUGGUUAUGCCCAACAUUAAAAUCUACAACUCAGUUGUUCACAACUUCGAGAACAGUCAUUGUUCCCAAGGCCAAGUUUAAGAUUUUAAGCGGUUUCUCAGCGGUUCGCUUUACAUGGCGUGAUAAUGUACAAUUGUUUUGCUUUUUUGGUAAACAUCUCGUUUAUUGAUUUAUUUGGCCGACAGCUUACGAUCGAUGCAUGAGUUUGGAUCUUCAUUGAAGACUGUCAAUGUGAUGUUAAAUGGUCUAUGACUAUGUAGGUAUAGAGAUGAGAACAAGCCAACUCAAACAGCAAAAGGGCCUUCGCUCAAAACGUCGAAGUUUUGCUUAUAUUUUCAGGAAUAUUGUGGCUUAGGGAUUAGCCCGAGUAUAUCAGGCCGGAUACUACUUACAGAUGAAGAUAGAUAGAUUAUUUAAUAAGA
This is a non-coding RNA of Paramuricea clavata, 1985 nucleotides long. Lineage: Eukaryota; Metazoa; Cnidaria; Anthozoa; Malacalcyonacea; Plexauridae. The record is from the annotation of a GenBank genome assembly.